UGACCGCUGGCGGCGUGCCUACUACAUGCACAUCGAGCGAACGGACGCGAAGCUUGCUUCUCUGAUGUUAGCGGCGGACGGGUGAGUAACACGUGGAUAACCUACCUAUAAGACUGGGAUAACUUCGGGAAACCGGAGCUAAUACCGGAUAAUAUUUUGAACCGCAUGGUUCAAAAGUGAAAGACGGUCUUGCUGUCACUUAUAGAUGGAUCCGCGCUGCAUUAGCUAGUUGGUAAGGUAACGGCUUACCAAGGCAACGAUGCAUAGCCGACCUGAGAGGGUGAUCGGCCACACUGGAACUGAGACACGGUCCAGACUCCUACGGGAGGCAGCAGUAGGGAAUCUUCCGCAAUGGGCGAAAGCCUGACGGAGCAACGCCGCGUGAGUGAUGAAGGUCUUCGGAUCGUAAAACUCUGUUAUUAGGGAAGAACAUAUGUGUAAGUAACUGUGCACAUCUUGACGGUACCUAAUCAGAAAGCCACGGCUAACUACGUG
This 495-nucleotide ribosomal RNA is filed under the name uncultured bacterium. Its description in RNAcentral is "partial 16S ribosomal RNA". It matches the Rfam family "Bacterial small subunit ribosomal RNA", at positions 30 to 507 of the family's 1533-position model. The record is from RNAcentral.